UGGUGUGUAACUCAUGUGGUAGAGUAAUAAGCUUUUAACUUAUAAGGGGUUGGUUCAAAUCCAAUCACACCAA
Molecule: transfer RNA, 73 nt
Filed under: Topsentia ophiraphidites
Lineage: Eukaryota; Metazoa; Porifera; Demospongiae; Suberitida; Halichondriidae
Description: tRNA-Lys
Rfam family: tRNA
About the family: Transfer RNA (tRNA) molecules are approximately 80 nucleotides in length. Their secondary structure includes four short double-helical elements and three loops (D, anti-codon, and T loops). Further hydrogen bonds mediate the characteristic L-shaped molecular structure. tRNAs have two regions of fundamental functional importance: the anti-codon, which is responsible for specific mRNA codon recognition, and the 3' end, to which the tRNAs corresponding amino acid is attached (by aminoacyl-tRNA synthetases). tRNAs cope with the degeneracy of the genetic code in two manners: having more than one tRNA (with a specific anti-codon) for a particular amino acid; and 'wobble' base-pairing, i.e. permitting non-standard base-pairing at the 3rd anti-codon position.
Source: RNAcentral